This 69-nucleotide transfer RNA is filed under the name Canis lupus familiaris (dog). It matches the Rfam family "tRNA". Rfam says of the family: Transfer RNA (tRNA) molecules are approximately 80 nucleotides in length. The record is from Rfam by way of RNAcentral. RNAcentral also lists the same sequence under 2 other names. Lineage: Eukaryota; Metazoa; Chordata; Mammalia; Carnivora; Canidae.
ACCUGGCUGGCUCAAUAGAGCGUGAGACUCUUGAUCUCAGGGUUGUGAGUUUGAGCCCUAUGCUAGACA